This 301-nucleotide ribosomal RNA is filed under the name uncultured bacterium. Its description in RNAcentral is "partial 16S ribosomal RNA". It matches the Rfam family "Bacterial small subunit ribosomal RNA", at positions 509 to 807 of the family's 1533-position model. The record is from RNAcentral.
CAGCCGCCGCGGUAAGACAGAGGAUGCAAGCGUUAUCCGGAAUGAUUGGGCGUAAAGCGUCUGUAGGUGGCUUUUCAAGUCCGCCGUCAAAUCCCAGGGCUCAACCCUGGACAGGCGGUGGAAACUACCAAGCUGGAGUACGGUAAGGGCAGAGGGAAUUUCCGGUGGAGCGGUGAAAUGCGUUGAGAUCGGAAAGAACACCAACGGCAAAAGCACUCUGUUGGGCUGACACUGACACUGAGAGACGAAAGCUAGGGGAGCAAAUGGGAUUAGAUACCCCAGUAGUCCCUGUCUCUUAUAC